CAGGAGGCUUUUUUAUGGAGCCAACCAAAUUGACGUGAAAGUGCCUUCCAUCCCCAAACUCCUCGUCAAGGAAGUGCUGAACCCCUUCUACAUUUUCCAAGCCUUCAGCAUGGUGCUGUGGUCCCUCGACGAUUACUACUUGUACGCCUCGGCCAUCCUCUUCAUGUCUCUCGUGUCCAUUAGCUGCUCCCUCUACACCCUCCGUAAGCAAUACGUCCUCCUGCACGACAUGGUUGCGACGCACAACAUCAUCCGCGUGACGGUGUAUCGGGGGCCCCAUG
Gekko japonicus is the source of this 281-nucleotide long non-coding RNA. RefSeq lists it as uncharacterized. The transcript has 3 exons. The record is from RefSeq and is a predicted model, not a curated record. Lineage: Eukaryota; Metazoa; Chordata; Lepidosauria; Squamata; Gekkonidae.